UUAAUUGAAGAGUUUGAUCAUGGCUCAGAUUGAACGCUGGCGGCAGGCCUAACACAUGCAAGUCGAACGGUAACAGGGAGCAGCUUGCUGCUCUGCUGACGAGUGGCGGACGGGUGAGUAAUGUCUGG
Molecule: ribosomal RNA, 128 nt
Filed under: Cronobacter sakazakii
Lineage: Bacteria; Pseudomonadati; Pseudomonadota; Gammaproteobacteria; Enterobacterales; Enterobacteriaceae
Description: partial 16S ribosomal RNA
Rfam family: Bacterial small subunit ribosomal RNA
Source: RNAcentral